GUGUGUUGUUUAUGGCCUGGUCUGGGUUCAUUGAUGAGUACUGUAAUAAGCUUAGUGGUUACGAUUAUACAAUGACCUCAUCUAAAAACCUAAUAGACAAAUUUUUGGAAGUAGAACCACUCCUUGAACAGGUAAUGCAAGUCUUCGAUUUUAAAACACUUUAUCCUUCCAUAAGGCUCGAACCGGCAUGCCUCCUUUUGUAUAGAUUCCUGUUACACAACAUACCAGAAAAGCAAUGUAAUCCAGAGUUAGAGAUAUCUGUCACAUAAUAGUACACCAAUCGUAUUUUAUAUAUAAAAAUAAUAUUUGCAAACAACUGGCGUACUGAUAGGUUGCCCUGUGGCAGGAUUAUAGCUGAAAUAGUGGUCCGCUAUAAAGAGAGUGAUAUAAUACCAAACUUAGGAGGUAAUACUAUACUAUAUAAAAGAUGCAUCAACGAUAUACUGGUCAUAACCAAGAAACCAAAUCACUGACUUGGAUUAGAAGAGAAACUCAUAAUAGUAACCCUGGAGUAAAAUUAAUUAAGCAAAAAGAGAGUGAGGAAGAAAUGAACUAUCUUGAUAUAAAAAUAAAAAUAGUUAAAGGAGAGUAUAAUUUGAGCAUUUUCAGAAAAGA
This 615-nucleotide long non-coding RNA is filed under the name Androctonus crassicauda. The record is from RNAcentral. Lineage: Eukaryota; Metazoa; Arthropoda; Arachnida; Scorpiones; Buthidae.